CCAAUAGCGUAUAUUAAAGUUGUUGCAGUUAAAAAGCUCGUAGUUGAAUUUCGGGGUUAGUACGCUGGUCAUGCCUUCGGUAUGUACUGGUGUUACCGAUUCCUACCUUCUGAAGAACCGUCAUGUCAUUAAUUUGGUGUGGCGGGGAAUCAGGACUGUUACUUUGAAAAAAUUAGAGUGUUUAAAGCAGGCUCGCGCUUGAAUACAUUAGCAUGGAAUAAUGAAAUAGGACGUUUGAUCCUAUUUUGUUGGUUUCUAGGAUUGACGUAAUGAUUAAUAGGGAUAGUUGGGGGCAUUAGUAUUCAAUUGUCAGAGGUGAAAUUCUUGGAUUUAUUGAAGACUAACUACUGCGAAAGCAUUUGCCAAGGAUGUUUUCAUUAAUCAAGAACGAAAGUUAGGGGAUCGAAGACGAUCAGAUACCGUCGUAGUCUUAACCAUAAACUAUGCCGACUAGGGAUCGGAUGAUGUUAUUUUUAAUGACUCAUUCGGCGCCUUACG
RNAcentral lists this ribosomal RNA (498 nucleotides) under uncultured Glomeromycotina. Its description in RNAcentral is "partial small subunit ribosomal RNA". It matches the Rfam family "Eukaryotic small subunit ribosomal RNA", at positions 591 to 1092 of the family's 1831-position model. Lineage: Eukaryota; Fungi; Glomeromycota. The record is from RNAcentral.